AGGUGUAGCUACAUUACCUCGGAAAAUCUGAUGAUAUUUUGCGGACUUCUCGUCAUUUGCAUAAAUCCGAAGAUGACUGACUGACACUGGUUGAAACACUGUUGUUCACAAGACCCAAAGGACAAAGGUUGAGAGCUACAAGUUCAUAUCACAUUCUACUCAAGAAGGUGAAGGAUUUGGGGAUCACUAAAACAAGACCGUCGGAUAUAGAAACAAUUUUAUUUUAUGAGAUAAUCUUUCAACUUUAUUUUUACUUACUAUUGUGGAAGAGA
This is a long non-coding RNA of Lytechinus variegatus (green sea urchin), 272 nucleotides long. RefSeq lists it as uncharacterized. The transcript has 2 exons. Lineage: Eukaryota; Metazoa; Echinodermata; Echinoidea; Temnopleuroida; Toxopneustidae. The record is from RefSeq and is a predicted model, not a curated record.